RNAcentral lists this ribosomal RNA (626 nucleotides) under uncultured bacterium. RNAcentral's name for it is "bacterial SSU rRNA". It matches the Rfam family "Bacterial small subunit ribosomal RNA", at positions 839 to 1463 of the family's 1533-position model. The record is from RNAcentral.
GUCAGUACCGUAGCUAACGCGUUAAGUGUCCCGCCUGGGGAGUACGCACGCAAGUGUGAAACUCAAAGGAAUUGACGGGGGCCCGCACAAGCGGUGGAGUAUGUGGUUUAAUUCGAUGCAACGCGAAGAACCUUACCAGGGUUUGACAUCCCGCGAAUAACCCGGAAACGGGUUAGUGCCUUCGGGAACGCGGAGACAGGUGGUGCAUGGCUGUCGUCAGCUCGUGUCGUGAGAUGUUGGGUUAAGUCCCGCAACGAGCGCAACCCUCGUGGUUAGUUGCCAUCAUUAAGUUGGGCACUCUAGCCAGACUGCCGGUGACAAACCGGAGGAAGGUGGGGAUGACGUCAAGUCAGCAUGCCCCUUACAUCCUGGGCUACACACGUACUACAAUGCUGCGGACAAAGGGCAGCCAACUCGCGAGAGUGAGCAAAUCCCAUAAACCGUGGCUCAGUUCAGAUUGCAGGCUGCAACUCGCCUGCAUGAAGGAGGAAUCGCUAGUAAUCGCAGGUCAGCAUACUGCGGUGAAUACGUUCCCGGGCCUUGUACACACCGCCCGUCACACCAUGGAAGUCGGCCACGCCCGAAGUCGUUAUUCUAACCCCUUGUGGGAGGGAGGCGCCGAAGGC